GGAGCUGUGACAAGUAUUAUUGAAACUAGAGUCACCUCAUUGAUCGCCAGGGUUGAUUCGAUUGAUCUGGCUGUCAAGGUGGGUGUCCCCUUCCUCCCUCACUGCUCCAUGUGCAUCCCUCCCACAGCUGCGUGCUCGGUCGAAGAGGACGACCUUCCCCGGUACAGGUGGGUACCGUUCAUCAGUCAUGGGUAUAUGGUAGCUGCGGUCCCCAGCUAGAACCUCCAGACAAGCUCAAGGUCCAGUUGUAGGGGAAUGUAGGGUAGUCAAGCUUCCAAGAGAGCGAACACAUCCAAGUGAGGCGUUGCACGUGGCAGUCUGCUAUUAUUU
RNAcentral lists this small nuclear RNA (330 nucleotides) under Melopsittacus undulatus (budgerigar). Its description in RNAcentral is "7SK RNA". It matches the Rfam family "7SK RNA". From Rfam's summary of the family: 7SK was discovered as an abundant small nuclear RNA in the mid-70s but a possible function has only recently been suggested. Lineage: Eukaryota; Metazoa; Chordata; Aves; Psittaciformes; Psittaculidae. The record is from Rfam by way of RNAcentral.